AUCAUCAUUGCAACACCUGAUCCCUAGGUGGCGGUAAUGUACAAUUCAGCACAGAAGAAGAAGAGGAGGAGACGAGUGUUAAUGGUGUUUACUGCUCAUCUGGAGAGUCGCCGUCAUCUUGAUGCAGGAGGUUAGAAGAAACAACAAACACACAGUAAACAUCUGAAGAGCACGUAGCUCGUGCACGGAGCAAGGGAGCAACUUAAGGUUCAGUGUCUUGCCCAAGGACACUUCGGCAUGUGGAGUCAUGCAGGCCGGGAAUUGAACCCCCAACCCUACGAUUAGUGGACAACCCGCUCUACCACCUGAACCAUAGCCGCCCAUGUUUGGAUAGAACUUUCUGGAACAUGGAGCUAAUGCUAAUUUAAUAUGUUCUGUCAGAAAGCCCACACAGUUUGCAGCAUGCUGUGGACCCAAACAAAUUCUUCCACCUGCCCCCACUGUUAACUUCCCCACAGUCACCCCAAACACCACUUUCACCACUGUUCUCACCACCACUUGACCAGCAGCAGCACACGGCUCGUUCACAGAGAUGCUGCAGAACUGGCAGCCGAUGGACGAUAUGCCAUCGUUGCCAGGCUGUUAGCCUUUACGAGGAGCCCCCAGUAAUCAUCAGAAGCAGGUAGGGCCAACCGUGACUUCCACUCAGCCAUCUUACUGGAAUUUGUAUAGGUUAGGAAUAAGACUGAGGAUGGAGUUGUAUAGUUUUGUAGUGUGUAUCAUUUGUAAAUAUUGUUAACUUCAUCAUAGCCAUGCAGAGGGAGGUGUUGACUAAAUUGUGGAUGGUGCUGGACCUACAAACCACUGAGAUUGCUUCAACUACAGGAGGUCCAGGUGCAGCCUUUGUAAUAUUGAGGAGGAUUUACUGCCCCUGCAAGACCAUCCUCAACUGUGUAGUCUGGAGCAAAGGAUGGAACAGAGCCCAGAUUACAAGCAAAAACUGCUGAGAAUUUUCUUUUUUUGUUAACAAUUGCUUGCACAAUUACACAGCGACUGAGAGCUUUUUUUUUCUCUCUCAAAAGGACACUCGUACUCAAAGGACAACACUGAACACAACUUUGAUAUAAGGGAACAGUUAUGACCUAAUCUUUGGUAGAGGAGGAAAACACACAGGGCAGGGUAACUGCAGGAGUAGUGAGAAGCACUGACCCAGUUGACAAGGCAAUACAUGCUUAUUUAUUUUUAUACUAUUGUAUAUUAUUUUUGUGUUUUAAAUCGGUUUCAGGUAAACUGGUUGGCGCCUAUUGACAGGGUGGAUUUUGAAGAGGGUGAUGGCUAACUCCCCGGAAAAGAACCUCAACUGGAGGGGAGUCACUGGAAAGACGUCACUGGAAAGACUUCACUGGCCGCUCUCCAACUCGGAGAGGUCAUGAUUGCUGCAGUUCGUAGAAACCUCCUCACGGCUAAUGCUGCUGAGAUGGAGGUCAAGAGGACCAUGAAGAGGUGGCUUCAGCUGGCAUCAGAUCGAGAGUGUGGGCGCAAGUGAAGACUUUUGCAAAAGGAGGGUAUGUAGAAUGUUUUAACUGUGGUGUGUUUUUUGCGCUAUUUGUUAAAAUGUUUAUAGUAUAGUCUAUUUUUAAUUGUUUAUAAAAGUCCUUGCUGUUUUUAAGUGGUUGAAUUUUUGCGUGUUGGUAGCUGGGUGGGUAUACAGUUGCGGUUGAAAGUUUACAUACCCCUUGCAGAAUUUAUAAAAUCUUAAUACUCUUAACAAAAUCAGAUUGAUCAUAAAAAUCCCAUGAUUUUUUAUUUAGUCCUGUCCUGAAUAAACUAUUUCACAUAACAGAUGUUUACAUAUAGUCCACAAGACAAUAGAAAAAUCCUCCAGGUCCUGAAUGUGACGGAAAAACACAUUCAGGACCUGGAGGAUGAAAAACAGUGGUCAGCUUAAAUGCUCAGGACAAACAAGGGACUCGUGAACAAAUAUCACAAAAUAUAAACACAGUCGUGGAUCAUCCAGGUAAUGACACAGUAUUAAGAAUCAAGUGUAUGUAAAUUUUUGAAUGGGGUAAUUUGUAUAAAUUCAGCUAUUAUCUUGUGGACUAUAUGUAAAAAUCUGUUAUGUGAAAGUUUAUUCAGGACAGGGCUAAAUAAAAACACAGGUUUUUUUAUGAUCCGUCUUAUUUUGUUAACGGUAUUAAGAUUUUGUAAAUUCUGCAAGGGGUAUGUAAACAAAUGUAUGUUCUCUAUAUGUCUUUUCUUUACAAAUGUUCUUGAUGUUUUUAAAUGGUUGAAUUUAUUUGUGUGAAUUUUUGUCUUUAAAUAUACUGUAAAUAUAUUUACUUAUUUUGUUUUUAAAAGUGUGUUGUUAAAUGUUCAUAUUGUAGUGUAUUUGUUAAUGUUUAAUAAAAGCCCUUAAUCUUAUUAAAUGGUUGAGUUUGUGUUUCCCUGCUAAAAUGAAGUACAUUUGGCAGUUUCUGGGCCACAUCUGGCCCGGGGACCAAGCCGACUCUCAGCCAGAUCUGUCUUACAGUGUCUGGGCCAGACCCGGGCCACAUAAAACAAUGUCACUUUACAGUGUCUGGGCCAGAGGAAAUUGUAUGUGUCGGUUUUCAGUGUGUGGGCCAGUUUUGGGCUGGGGAUCCAGGCAUAUAUUGGGCCAGAACUAAAGCAAGCAUGUGGCCCACAAGUGGGCCAGACAAAUUUUGUUAUCUGGGUUGAGUUCGUCGGAGUUAAAGUGAUUGUGUAGUUUUCA
Molecule: long non-coding RNA, 2692 nt
Organism: Ictalurus punctatus (channel catfish)
Lineage: Eukaryota; Metazoa; Chordata; Actinopteri; Siluriformes; Ictaluridae
Exons: 4
Source: RefSeq, a predicted model, not a curated record